CUACGGGACGCUGCAGUGGGGGAUAUUGCACAAUGGAGGAAACUCUGAUGCAGCAACGCCGCGUGAAGGAAGACGGUUUUCGGAUUGUAAACUUCUAUCAGCUGGGAAGAAAAUGACUGUACCAGACUAAGAAGCCCCGGCUAACUACGUGCCAGCAGCCGCGGUAAUACGUAGGGGGCAAGCGUUAUCCGGAUUUACUGGGUGUAAAGGGUUCGUAGGCGGUUAUUUAAGUCAGAUGUGAAAGCCCGAGGCUCAACCUCAGGACUGCAUUUGAAACUGGAUAACUAGAGUACAGGAGAGGAAAGCGGAAUUCCUAGUGUAGCGGUGAAAUGCGUAGAUAUUAGGAAGAACACCAGUGGCGAAGGCGGCUUUCUGGACUGUAACUGACGCUGAUGAACGAAAGCGUGGGGAGCGAACAGGAUUAGAUACCCUCGUAGUC
This 439-nucleotide ribosomal RNA is filed under the name uncultured bacterium. RNAcentral describes it as "partial 16S ribosomal RNA". It matches the Rfam family "Bacterial small subunit ribosomal RNA", at positions 339 to 795 of the family's 1533-position model. The record is from RNAcentral.